GAUGAACGCUAGCGGGAGGCCUAACACAUGCCAGCCGAGCGGUAGAAAGUAGCUUGCUACUUUUGAGAGCGGCGUACGGGUGCGGAACACGUGUGCAACCUGCCUUUAUCUGGGGAAUAGCCUUUCGAAAGGAAGAUUAAUGCCCCAUAACAUAUUGAUUGGCAUCAAUUAAUAUUGAAAGCUCCGGCGGAUAGAGAUGGGCACGCGCAAGAUUAGCUAGUUGGUGAGGUAACGGCUCACCAAGGCGAUGAUCUUUAGGGGGCCUGAGAGGGUGAUCCCCCACACUGGUACUGAGACACGGACCAGACUCCUACGGGAGGCAGCAGUGAGGAAUAUUGGACAAUGGGUGCAAGCCUGAUCCAGCCAUCCCGCGUGAAGGAUGACGGCCCUAUGGGUUGUAAACUUCUUUUAUACAGGGAUAAACCUACUUACGUGUAAGUAGCUGAAGGUACUGUAUGAAUAAGCACCGGCUAACUCCGUG
Molecule: ribosomal RNA, 481 nt
Filed under: uncultured bacterium
Lineage: Bacteria
Description: partial 16S ribosomal RNA
Rfam family: Bacterial small subunit ribosomal RNA
Source: RNAcentral